Molecule: long non-coding RNA, 449 nt
Organism: Carlito syrichta (Philippine tarsier)
Lineage: Eukaryota; Metazoa; Chordata; Mammalia; Primates; Tarsiidae
Exons: 3
Source: RefSeq, a predicted model, not a curated record
GGAACGAGGGAGCAGAAGUGGCCAUCUACAUCUACCGGUGUAACAGUUGGAGAAUAAAAAUAAAACUACAGACUGGGCCGAGAAGGAGACAUAGAUAUGGGUUCUCCUGUCUGCUUCUGCAUUCCCUCUGUCCCAGUACGCUGCGCUGGUUGAAGCCGAUGAAGAAAAUUCCGCCUCUCACAGAUGUGUAGUUGAGAAAAGGAGGCACUGAAUAGCCUUUUCGGGUAAUUGCGGACAUUCUGCUGUGAUACGACAGCAGCGCUCCAGCUGGUCGUUUCCUAAAGGUAAAAAUUAUGUACAAUGAAAGAAAAGCAAUUAGCUGAGUUUGCAACUCAAACAAUGGCACGCGUGCUUCUCUUUGUGACCACUGCUGUAUUGACGUAUGUAAUAGCAGUGUUCCAUGCAUUUUUCCCAUCUCGUCACACAGAAUAUUAAAAAGAUGUGUACUC